RNAcentral lists this long non-coding RNA (1592 nucleotides) under Marmota monax (woodchuck). Lineage: Eukaryota; Metazoa; Chordata; Mammalia; Rodentia; Sciuridae. The record is from RNAcentral.
GUUUUUAGAGAAAUGGGUGAAUCUUACAAGGAAUAACAGAAUUACAGAGGCCAUAAUGAGGGGGUUUUAAUUUGGGUGAAAUUAUUUAUUUGUAGAGUAGAUGAGGAAAAGAUUAAAGACUCUACAGAAACAAUGAGAUUCAAUUUUUAAUUGACCUUGAAGCAUUUAAAGUGUAAAUGAAUCCAGGAGGGAGAGUUGUUAAUAGAAGUUGAGCCCUCAGGUGAGUAGGGUUGGCUUCUUUACACCUUGGUUAAAACAUUAAGCCCAGGACGAUAAUGUAAGAUAUCUGUUUCCCUGCCCUUCUUGCUAAUGAGCUUUGCCUCCUCAGUAACUUAACGCAGGCUGGGAUGAGAAGCUGCCUAUCAUUAAUUAAUCUUGAAACCUGUAUUUGCUGAAAGAAACCUACAUCUAUAGAGAAGUCUCCAUUUGCUGCUUUUUUUUGAGCUUUUUAAAAUUUGUUCUUAUUAGUUAUACAUGACAGUAGAAUGUAUUUGGACAUAUUAUACAUAUAUGGAGUUUAAUUUCCCAUUUUUGUGGUUGUACAUAAUGUGGAAUUAUAUUAAUCAUGUAUUCAUAUAUGAACAUUGGAACGUAGUAUCCGAUUCAUUCUACUAUCUUUUCUGUUCCCAUUCCUCCUCCCUUCCCUUCAUUCCCCUUUGUCUAAUCCAAAGUACUUCUAUUCUUCCCUACCCCCUACCUUAUUGUGAGUUAGCACCCACAUAUCAGAACAUACAUCCCUUGGUUUUCAGCGAUUGGCUUAUUAGCAUGAUAGUCUAUAGAUAGACUAUUAGCAUGAUAGUCUUCACUUCCAUCCAUUUACUGGCUAAUGCAAUAAUUUCAUUUCUCUUUAUGGCUGAGUAAUAUUCCAUUGUGUAUAUAGACCACAUUUUCUUUAUCUGUUUAUCUGUUGAAGGGCACGUGGGAUGGUUUCAUAGCUUAGCUAUUGUGAAUUGAGCUGCUAUAAACAUUGAUGUGUUUAUAGCACUAUACUAUGCUGAUUUUAAGUUCUUUGGGUAUAUACUGAGGAGUGGGAUAACUGGAUCAAAUGGUGGUUCCAUUCCAAGUUUUCUGAGGAAUCUCCAUACUUCUUUCCAGAGUGUACCAAUUUGCAGUCUCACCACCAAUGUAUGAGUGAAACUUUCCCCCACAUCCUCACCAACAUUUAUUGUUAGUUGUAUUCUUGAUAAUUACCAUUCUGACUGCAGUGAUAUGAAAUCUGUGUAGUUUUAAUUUGCACUUCUCUAACUGCUAGAGAUAUUGAACAUUUUCUCAUAUAUUUUUUCCUUGCAAAGGUCUUUGUGUUAUUUAUUUAUUCAGCUUAAUCUUUUAACUAAUAAUGCUUAUUUUCUAGCUUUCUUGCCUCACAAACAUUCAUGGCUGUACGAUCCAUUCACUUUUAAAUGCUAGUUCAGUAGUUUUUAAUCAUGCUCAUUCAGCUGUCACUACAGACUAAAAUCUAAUCAAUCAUUUUCUAUAGAGCAUUUUUUUUGUUUUUGUACAAAUUUUAACUUUCAUUCUGAGAAGAUAUCCCUUGAUCAAGUUAAAAUUUAGAUCCAUGUGGUUGAGAGAUUAGCUGUGAUUAAUUUUUAUUA